This 777-nucleotide ribosomal RNA is filed under the name uncultured bacterium. RNAcentral describes it as "bacterial SSU rRNA". It matches the Rfam family "Bacterial small subunit ribosomal RNA", at positions 8 to 796 of the family's 1533-position model. The record is from RNAcentral.
AGAGUUUGAUCCUGGCUCAGAAAUGAACGUUGGCGGCGUGGAUUAGGCAUGCAAGUCGAGCGAGAAUCGUAGCAAUACGAGGACAGCGGCGCAAGGGACAGUAAUGUGUAGAUCAUCUGCCCUCAGGUCCGGGAUAGCUGCGGGAAACUGCAGGUAAUACCGGAUAACAUCUCCGGAUCAAAGGUGUGAUUCCGCCUGAGGAUGAGUCUGCAUCCUAUUAGCUAGUUGGCAGGGUAACGGCCUACCAAGGCAUUGAUGGGUAGCGGGUGUGAGAGCACGACCCGCGUCAUUGGGACUGAGACACUGCCCAGACACCUACGGGUGGCUGCAGUCGAGAAUCUUCGGCAAUGGGCGCAAGCCUGACCGAGCGACGCCGCGUGUGGGAUGAAGGCCUUCGGGUUGUAAACCACUGUCAGAGGGGAUGAAAUGCAGGUGGGUUCUCCCAUCUGUUUGACAUAGCCUCAGAGGAAGGACGGGCUAAGUUCGUGCCAGCAGCCGCGGUAAGACGAACCGUCCAAACGUUAUUCGGAAUUACUGGGCUUAAAGGGUGCGUAGGCGGCGCGGAAAGUUGGGUGUGAAAUCCCUCGGCUCAACCGAGGAACUGCGCCCAAUACUACCGUGCUUGAGGGAGAUAGAGGUGAGCGGAACUUAGGGUGGAGCGGUGAAAUGCGUUGAUAUCCUAAGGAACACCGGUGGCGAAAGCGGCUCACUGGAUCUCUUCUGACGCUGAGGCACGAAAGCUAGGGUAGCGAACGGGAUUAGAUACCCUAGUAGUCC